Dipodomys spectabilis (banner-tailed kangaroo rat) is the source of this 776-nucleotide non-coding RNA. NCBI's taxonomy places the organism in Eukaryota, Metazoa, Chordata, Mammalia, Rodentia, Heteromyidae. The record is from the annotation of a RefSeq genome assembly.
CCAGCCCAUCCCUGACCUGAGCUCUGUGAGCUGAUUCCACCAGUGACUGAGCACAGACCACCACCAUGGAGCUGGGGCUGCGCUGGGUUCUCCUUGUUGCUCUGUUGAAAGGUGUGCAGUGUGAGGUGCAGCUGGUGGAGUCUGGGGGAGGCUUGGUGCAGCCUGGGGGGUCCCUGAGACUCUCCUGUGCAGCCUCCGGAUUCACCUUCAGUGAUUACUACAUGCACUGGCUCCGCCAGGCUCCAGGGAAGAGGCCUGAGUGGCUUGGAGAAAUUAAUGAAGGUGGUAGUAGCACAUACUACGCAGACUCCGUGAAGGGCCGCUUCACCAUCUCCAGAGACAACAGCAAGAACACACUUUACCUGCAGAUGAACAGCCUGAGAGUGGAGGACACGGCCGUCUAUUACUGUGCUACAGACACAGGGGAAUACUACAAUUCCACCCCAGAGCUGGCUAUAUACCAAGAGAACAUGCAAAUGGGGCCUCCCUCUGCUCAUGAAAAGCUGCAGCUCUGCAGGUGUGCAAUGCCAGGGAAGGGGCUGGAGUGGAUUUCAUCCAUUUAUGGUAGUAGUAACAUACAGUACACAGGCUCCGUGAAGGGCCGCUUCACCAUCUCCAAAGACAACAGCAAGAACACACUUUACCUGCAGAUGAACAGCCUGAGAGUGGAGGACUGGGCCGUCUAUUACUGUGCUACAGACACAGUGCAGGAAAUCCAGACACAAACCUCCCUGCAGGGCGCUCAGCACCUGCAGGGGGCGCUGGGCACACACUGA